UCCGGUUUGUCACCGGCAGUCUCCUUAGAGUUCCCGCCAUUACGCGCUGGCAACUAAGGACAAGGGUUGCGCUCGUUACGGGACUUAACCCAACAUCUCACGACACGAGCUGACGACAGCCAUGCACCACCUGUGCACGGCCCUUACGGACCCGACAUCUCUGCCGGAUUUCCGUGCAUGUCAAGCCUAGGUAAGGUUCUUCGCGUUGCAUCGAAUUAAGCCACAUGCUCCGCCGCUUGUGCGGGCCCCCGUCAAUUCCUUUGAGUUUCACCGUUGCCGGCGUACUCCCCAGGUGGAUGACUUAACGAUUUCUCUAAGCCGCUGACUGUAUAUCGCCAACAGCGAGUCAUCAACGUUUACAGUGUGGACUAC
RNAcentral lists this unclassified non-coding RNA (372 nucleotides) under uncultured bacterium. Its description in RNAcentral is "contains 16S-23S intergenic spacer region". The record is from RNAcentral.